UGAGGAAUAUUGCGCAAUGGGGGCAACCCUGACGCAGCAACGCCGCGUGAGUGAGGAAGGUUUUCGGAUUGUAAAGCUCUGUCGAGCGGAAAGAAGUGCAUUAUGGCUAAUAUCCAUGGUGCUUGACGGUACCGCUAAAGGAAGCACCGGCUAACUCCGUGCCAGCAGCCGCGGUAAUACGGGGGGUGCAAGCGUUGUUCGGAAUCAUUGGGCGUAAAGCGCGUGUAGGCGGCUGGACAAGUCAGAUGUGAAAGCCCUGGGCUUAACCCAGGAAGUGCAUUUGAAACUGUUCGGCUAGAGUAAGGGAGAGGAAAGUGGAAUUCCUGGUGUAGAGGUGAAAUUCGUAGAUAUCAGGAGGAACACCGGUGGCGAAGGCGACUUUCUGGCCCUAUACUGACGCUGAGACGCGAAAGCGUGGGUAGCAAACA
This 428-nucleotide ribosomal RNA is filed under the name uncultured prokaryote. Its description in RNAcentral is "bacterial SSU rRNA". It matches the Rfam family "Bacterial small subunit ribosomal RNA", at positions 355 to 774 of the family's 1533-position model. The record is from RNAcentral.